CUCUAUGGCCAUAUCACCCUGAACACGCCCAAUCUUGUAAGCUGAGCAGGGUAGGGCCUUGUUAGUAUUUGGAUGGGAGACCACUUGGGAAAAUUGGUCAAUAGAGU
RNAcentral lists this ribosomal RNA (107 nucleotides) under Erinaceus europaeus (western European hedgehog). Lineage: Eukaryota; Metazoa; Chordata; Mammalia; Eulipotyphla; Erinaceidae. The record is from RNAcentral.